RNAcentral lists this ribosomal RNA (425 nucleotides) under uncultured bacterium. RNAcentral describes it as "bacterial SSU rRNA". It matches the Rfam family "Bacterial small subunit ribosomal RNA", at positions 358 to 775 of the family's 1533-position model. The record is from RNAcentral.
GGAAUCUUCGGCAAUGGGCGAAAGCCUGACCGAGCAACGCCGCGUGAAUGAAGAAGGCCUUCGGGUUGUAAAAUUCUGUUAUAAGGGAAGAAAGGUGAUAGGAGGAAAUGACUAUCAAUUGACGGUACCUUAUGAGAAAGCCACGGCUAACUACGUGCCAGCAGCCGCGGUAAUACGUAGGAGGCAAGCGUUAUCCGGAAUGACUGGGCGUAAAGGGUGCGUAGGUGGUUUGACAAGUUGGUAGCGCAACUCCGGGGCUCAACCUCGGCACUACUACCAAAACUGUUGAACUUGAGUGCAGGAGGGGCAAAUGGAAUUCCUAGUGUAGCGGUGGAAUGCGUAGAUAUUAGGAGGAACACCAGUGGCGAAGGCGAUUUGCUGGACUGUAACUGACACUGAGGCACGAAAGCGUGGGGAGCAAACAG